GGGCGAAUAGCUCAGCGGGAGAGCACCUGCCUUACAAGCAGGGGGUCGCAGGUUCAAAUCCUGCUUCGCCCACCA
This 75-nucleotide transfer RNA is filed under the name Bacillota bacterium. RNAcentral's name for it is "Firmicutes bacterium (anaerobic digester metagenome) tRNA-Val". It matches the Rfam family "tRNA". Rfam says of the family: Transfer RNA (tRNA) molecules are approximately 80 nucleotides in length. Their secondary structure includes four short double-helical elements and three loops (D, anti-codon, and T loops). Further hydrogen bonds mediate the characteristic L-shaped molecular structure. tRNAs have two regions of fundamental functional importance: the anti-codon, which is responsible for specific mRNA codon recognition, and the 3' end, to which the tRNAs corresponding amino acid is attached (by aminoacyl-tRNA synthetases). tRNAs cope with the degeneracy of the genetic code in two manners: having more than one tRNA (with a specific anti-codon) for a particular amino acid; and 'wobble' base-pairing, i.e. permitting non-standard base-pairing at the 3rd anti-codon position. The record is from RNAcentral. Lineage: Bacteria; Bacillati; Bacillota.